This 73-nucleotide transfer RNA is filed under the name Rhizobium phage RHph_I1_18. RNAcentral's name for it is "tRNA-Pro". It matches the Rfam family "tRNA". From Rfam's summary of the family: Transfer RNA (tRNA) molecules are approximately 80 nucleotides in length. Their secondary structure includes four short double-helical elements and three loops (D, anti-codon, and T loops). Lineage: Duplodnaviria; Heunggongvirae; Uroviricota; Caudoviricetes. The record is from RNAcentral.
CGGAGUGUAGCUCAAUGGUGGAGUGCUGGCUUUGGAGGCUAGAGGUUAAGAGUUCGAGUCUCUUCUCUCCGAC